CAACUUUCAGCAACGGAUCUCUUGGCUCUCGCAUCGAUGAAGAACGCAGCGAAAUGCGAUAAGUAAUGUGAAUUGCAGAAUCCAGUGAAUCAUCGAAUCUUUGAACGCACCUUGCGCCCUUUGGCUAUUCCGAAGGGCAUGCCUGUUUGAGUAUCAU
RNAcentral lists this ribosomal RNA (157 nucleotides) under uncultured Thelephoraceae. RNAcentral describes it as "5.8S ribosomal RNA". It matches the Rfam family "5.8S ribosomal RNA". Rfam says of the family: 5.8S ribosomal RNA (5.8S rRNA) is a component of the large subunit of the eukaryotic ribosome. It is transcribed by RNA polymerase I as part of the 45S precursor that also contains 18S and 28S rRNA. Functionally, it is thought that 5.8S rRNA may be involved in ribosome translocation. Lineage: Eukaryota; Fungi; Basidiomycota; Agaricomycetes; Thelephorales; Thelephoraceae. The record is from RNAcentral.